AGCAGCCGCGGUAAUUCCAGCUCCAAUAGCGUAUAUUAAAGUUGUUGCAGUUAAAAAGCUCGUAGUUGAAUUUCGGGAUCAAUUAAUUGGUCGUGCCUCUGGUACGUACUGAUUUUAUUGGUUUCUCCCUUCUGACGAACCAUGAUGUCAUUAAUUUGGUGUCGUGGAGAAUCAGGACUGUUACUUUGAAAAAUUAGAGUGUUUAAAGCAAGCUAACGCUUGAAUACAUUAGCAUGGAAUAAUGAAAUAGGACGUUUGAUCCUAUUUUGUUGGUUUCUAGGAUCGACGUAAUGAUUAAUAGGGAUAGUUGGGGGCAUUAGUAUUCAAUUGUCAGAGGUGAAAUUCUUGGAUUUAUUGAAGACUAACUACUGCGAAAGCAUUUGCCAAGGAUGUUUUCAUUAAUCAAGAACGAAAGUUAGGGGAUCGA
Molecule: ribosomal RNA, 427 nt
Filed under: uncultured Glomeromycotina
Lineage: Eukaryota; Fungi; Glomeromycota
Description: SSU rRNA
Rfam family: Eukaryotic small subunit ribosomal RNA
Source: RNAcentral